RNAcentral lists this transfer RNA (72 nucleotides) under Camelus bactrianus (Bactrian camel). It matches the Rfam family "tRNA". From Rfam's summary of the family: Transfer RNA (tRNA) molecules are approximately 80 nucleotides in length. Lineage: Eukaryota; Metazoa; Chordata; Mammalia; Artiodactyla; Camelidae. The record is from Rfam by way of RNAcentral. RNAcentral also lists the same sequence under 1 other name.
GACGGUAUAGCUCCGUGGUAGAGUGCGUGCUUCGCAUGCACAAGGUCUUGGGUUCAAUCCCCAGUACCUCCA